AUGAAACUUUUACUAUUUUUAUAACUCCUUGUCCGGGCAGGUUUACUCGUUAGUCCGUAAAUCCAGCUGUUAAGAUGAUUAAGACUUUUUUCUUAUUUGGAAUAUUUAUCCUUUGUUUUUUGCAAGUACAAUCAGUGUGUCAAGGUGGAUACUUUGGUGAAAACUGCGAGUAUAAAUGUGCAGAUAACUGUCAGGCGUGUGUUGCUAAGAGAGAAAAUUCAAGUGUGUCCAUUUGUACAACAUGCAAAAAAGGAUAUUUUUUGCUGAGGAAUAAAUGUUUUGAGUGUAUGGGUAAUUGUACAGCUUGUUAUCGUGUUAGGCCUACUAUCUGUACAGAAUGUAAACCAGGAUUUUACGGGCUACAGUGCGGUUUGAAAUGUCCUGAGAACUGUCUAGAAUGUAUAUCAUAUGAUAAGUGUACAAAGUGUAAAGACGGCUGGUCUGGAGUGAAUAAAUGUGUGUGCAGUCGCAAUUGCAUCCGAGAGGGUGGCCCUGAAACUUACUGCUUUUCGAGCGGAAGAUGUGCUAAAGGCUGCAUUAGAGGCAAAUUCGGAUUACACUGUAAUUCCGAUUGCCCAGAGAAAGAUCGUUGCUUGGAAUGCCACCAAUUUAGCGGCCGCUGCAAAAAAUGUGUCAAUGGACUUUAUGGCUCAAUAAAUCACUGCGACAAAAAAUGCGGGAACUGUAUGCCAGAUGUCUCGAACGAAGUUACAUGUUCUAUCGAAGAUGGAGAAUGCAGUGGUCCUUGCACUGAUGGGUUCUAUGGGAAAUAUUGUAAUCAGUAUUGCAGCAGAAAUUGUUUAGAUCCUAUCACUAAAUUAAACAGCUGCAGCAAAAGCACAGGGGAAUGUUCUGCUUGUAAAAUUGGAUUCUACGGCUUGACCUGUUCAAAAAAGUGUAGUCCGAACUCUGAAUCUGGUUGUAACAAGACCACAGGAAUUUCCGAUACAUGUAAAGAUAAUCAUUAUGGCAUCAACUGUACACUAAUAUGUUCACAAAACUGUGGAACUGAACCAGUUGGAAAUUCGCGAAAAACGAUUUGUCAUAGAGCAAAUGGAGAAUGUUUACAUUGUAAACUCGGCUUUUAUGGACAAUUCUGUGACAAACCUUGUCCGGAAAACUGUGAGAAAUUUACAGAAAACAAACAACGGUGUUAUAAAGCUGUCGGGUCUUGUUUGAAGUGUCAGGAUGGAUACUUUGGAACCUUCUGCAAACAAGAAUGCAGCAAGAAUUGUGGGAAGGGAGAUAAUAAAACUAAUGGAUCAUGUGACCAGAACACAGGUCACUGUGAUCAUGGAUGUAUGUCUGGCUGGCACAACAACACAUGCCAAGAAACCUGUAGCAUCGCGUGCAAAGGCCGAUUAUGUCAUAUCCAUACAGCUGAAUGUCUCAAUGGAUGUGAAAACGGAUUUGAAGGUGUUUUCUGUGAAAGAUGUACACAAUGUAACAGUGCCACUGUAGAGGUACUAACUGUGCUUUUAGCAGCUGUAACAGCAGCACUUCUGGCCUCUGUUGUCGGACUGUUUUGCUUAUAUAGGCGAGGAAGAAGAGCAAACCAAACCCAAAAGCCGGCUGUUUAUUAUAACACGUGUACAGGUGAACUAAGAUCAGGCGCAACAGAAAGUGCAUCGCCGCUAAAUGCGCCACAACAGGACAUGGAAUAUGAAAAUAAUGGAGACUUACAGGCAAAUGUAAUGACAGGCGCUAAUUAUAGCCAGCUAGAGCCCAGUGAUGAUGACCAUAUAUACACACAGAGUGCAUAGCAUAGCCGAAGUUCAAUUCUGAAUAGACAUCAUCUCAACAGUUGGGUGUUUAGUGACAUCUUCAAAUUAAAAGCUGCUGUCGCCUCUGAUGAGGCAGGUUCUCGCACGCUAAGCAAGCCAAUGGGCGUGUCUAGAAUCAUUAAUGGGAUCGAAGCUACGCCCUACGAGUUUCCCCACCAGGCGGCGCUACUUUCAAUGGGAG
RNA transcript from Mercenaria mercenaria, 1965 nucleotides. It is a transcript of the gene named fibrinolytic enzyme, isozyme C-like, with no coding region annotated. The transcript is spliced from 6 exons. NCBI's taxonomy places the organism in Eukaryota, Metazoa, Mollusca, Bivalvia, Venerida, Veneridae. The record is from RefSeq and is a predicted model, not a curated record.